This is a long non-coding RNA of Saccostrea cuccullata (small rock oyster), 412 nucleotides long. RefSeq lists it as uncharacterized. Lineage: Eukaryota; Metazoa; Mollusca; Bivalvia; Ostreida; Ostreidae. The record is from RefSeq and is a predicted model, not a curated record. The transcript is spliced from 3 exons.
AUGUUGGCCUCCCUAAGGAUUUUUCACCCUCUCACAAGGUGUGUCCAAUAAACAGUACAGUCACUGAUCUUUGUCAACUUUUAAAGAAAAUAACAGAAUAUGAAGAAGGAAGACUAUAUAUAGGAUCGAUCUAUUUCAUAACUGGAAAAAGAGAAGCAGUUCACAAAUGUUGAUGAGCAGAAGAGAAGAAACUCUGGCUGCACAAAAAUCUGAGCUCUUGAAAAAGAAACAAAAAAAAGAAAUGAAAAUAUGAAUGAUAUUCAAUCAAGGGAUCCAAAUGAUGAAAUUCUGGAAAUUCCACAGGGAGAGACGUACAAUAAGGAUUUUUGAAUUGACCAUCUCUGCUUGAACUGCUUGAAAGCACUGAAAACUGUUUCCCUGGUGCUGAACAAACUUUUCUCCUAGACUAGAA